RNAcentral lists this ribosomal RNA (1962 nucleotides) under Pseudomonas aeruginosa. RNAcentral's name for it is "bacterial LSU rRNA". It matches the Rfam family "Bacterial large subunit ribosomal RNA", at positions 937 to 2879 of the family's 2925-position model. Lineage: Bacteria; Pseudomonadati; Pseudomonadota; Gammaproteobacteria; Pseudomonadales; Pseudomonadaceae. The record is from RNAcentral.
UACCAAACCGAUGCAAACUCCGAAUACCCAGAAGUGCCGAGCAUGGGAGACACACGGCGGGUGCUAACGUCCGUCGUGAAAAGGGAAACAACCCAGACCGCCAGCUAAGGUCCCAAAGUUGUGGUUAAGUGGUAAACGAUGUGGGAAGGCUUAGACAGCUAGGAGGUUGGCUUAGAAGCAGCCAUCCUUUAAAGAAAGCGUAAUAGCUCACUAGUCGAGUCGGCCUGCGCGGAAGAUGUAACGGGGCUCAAACCACACACCGAAGCUGCGGGUGUCACGUAAGUGACGCGGUAGAGGAGCGUUCUGUAAGCCUGUGAAGGUGAGUUGAGAAGCUUGCUGGAGGUAUCAGAAGUGCGAAUGCUGACAUGAGUAACGACAAUGGGUGUGAAAAACACCCACGCCGAAAGACCAAGGGUUCCUGCGCAACGUUAAUCGACGCAGGGUUAGUCGGUUCCUAAGGCGAGGCUGAAAAGCGUAGUCGAUGGGAAACAGGUUAAUAUUCCUGUACUUCUGGUUACUGCGAUGGAGGGACGGAGAAGGCUAGGCCAGCUUGGCGUUGGUUGUCCAAGUUUAAGGUGGUAGGCUGAAAUCUUAGGUAAAUCCGGGGUUUCAAGGCCGAGAGCUGAUGACGAGUCGUCUUUUAGAUGACGAAGUGGUUGAUGCCAUGCUUCCAAGAAAAGCUUCUAAGCUUCAGGUAACCAGGAACCGUACCCCAAACCGACACAGGUGGUCGGGUAGAGAAUACCAAGGCGCUUGAGAGAACUCGGGUGAAGGAACUAGGCAAAAUGGCACCGUAACUUCGGGAGAAGGUGCGCCGGCUAGGGUGAAGGAUUUACUCCGUAAGCUCUGGCUGGUCGAAGAUACCAGGCCGCUGCGACUGUUUAUUAAAAACACAGCACUCUGCAAACACGAAAGUGGACGUAUAGGGUGUGACGCCUGCCCGGUGCCGGAAGGUUAAUUGAUGGGGUUAGCGCAAGCGAAGCUCUUGAUCGAAGCCCCGGUAAACGGCGGCCGUAACUAUAACGGUCCUAAGGUAGCGAAAUUCCUUGUCGGGUAAGUUCCGACCUGCACGAAUGGCGUAACGAUGGCGGCGCUGUCUCCACCCGAGACUCAGUGAAAUUGAAAUCGCUGUGAAGAUGCAGUGUAUCCGCGGCUAGACGGAAAGACCCCGUGAACCUUUACUGUAGCUUUGCACUGGACUUUGAGCCUGCUUGUGUAGGAUAGGUGGGAGGCUUUGAAGCGUGGACGCCAGUUCGCGUGGAGCCAUCCUUGAAAUACCACCCUGGCAUGCUUGAGGUUCUAACUCUGGUCCGUGAUCCGGAUCGAGGACAGUGUAUGGUGGGCAGUUUGACUGGGGCGGUCUCCUCCUAAAGAGUAACGGAGGAGUACGAAGGUGCGCUCAGACCGGUCGGAAAUCGGUCGCAGAGUAUAAAGGCAAAAGCGCGCUUGACUGCGAGACAGACACGUCGAGCAGGUACGAAAGUAGGUCUUAGUGAUCCGGUGGUUCUGUAUGGAAGGGCCAUCGCUCAACGGAUAAAAGGUACUCCGGGGAUAACAGGCUGAUACCGCCCAAGAGUUCAUAUCGACGGCGGUGUUUGGCACCUCGAUGUCGGCUCAUCACAUCCUGGGGCUGAAGCCGGUCCCAAGGGUAUGGCUGUUCGCCAUUUAAAGUGGUACGCGAGCUGGGUUUAGAACGUCGUGAGACAGUUCGGUCCCUAUCUGCCGUGGACGUUUGAGAUUUGAGAGGGGCUGCUCCUAGUACGAGAGGACCGGAGUGGACGAACCUCUGGUGUUCCGGUUGUCACGCCAGUGGCAUUGCCGGGUAGCUAUGUUCGGAAAAGAUAACCGCUGAAAGCAUCUAAGCGGGAAACUUGCCUCAAGAUGAGAUCUCACUGGGAACUUGAUUCCCCUGAAGGGCCGUCGAAGACUACGACGUUGAUAGGCUGGGUGUGUAAGCGUUGU